RNAcentral lists this long non-coding RNA (633 nucleotides) under Athene cunicularia (burrowing owl). RNAcentral describes it as "lncRNA (ENSACUG00000003177.1)". The record is from RNAcentral. Lineage: Eukaryota; Metazoa; Chordata; Aves; Strigiformes; Strigidae.
CCGGGCGGGGGCUGCAGCCCCUCGGAGCACGACGGGGCUGUAAGAAGCCUGCGGGAAACCCCGCAGCCGCGUGAGUGAGUCUCUGUGUUGCAGUGCCCUUGGGAAGGCUGGGGAAGGCUCUGAAGGUGAUGCCGAGGACUCUGCUGCUUCGCCCUGUGUAGAAGAUACAGGCAUGUCGCAGCUGCCUUUUGGAGCUCUAGAGCUCUCACAGAGCCAGGAUUUUGAGAGUGACUCCGUGCCCAGUGAGGGAGAUGCUCAGCAUCAGUUUCACCCUGGAGCUGCUGUCCCUUCUUCCAGACUUGUGAAGAACGAUACUAAAGAUGAACUGCAUGGGGAUAGCACAGAAACUGUCUCCAGCACAGAAGCACAUACUGCUUUGGAAGGCCAGGCAGAGAAGUCAGAAAGUACUCUGCAGGAAGUAGAAGACCAUACUGGAAAACAAAUGCCUGUCUGUGACCCCACUAAAACUGAGAAAUCCCUUGAUUCUGGUCAUGAGGAGCUGGAUGUCUUGUCAACUCAGGAAGAAAUGUUUCCUGAGUGUAAUGCAACAGGUAACAAUAAACAAGCAGAGCCAAAAUGUCCUAACCAUCAUCUCUACUUGAUCUUUUUAGGCAUGUAGUGUUUUAGGGUGCA